AGUGAACGCUGGCGGUAGGCCUAACACAUGCAAGUCGAACGGCAGCACAGUAAGAGCUUGCUCUUACGGGUGGCGAGUGGCGGACGGGUGAGGAAUACAUCGGAAUCUACUUUUUCGUGGGGGAUAACGUAGGGAAACUUACGCUAAUACCGCAUACGACCUACGGGUGAAAGCAGGGGAUCUUCGGACCUUGCGCGAUUGAAUUAGCCGAUGUCGGAUUAGCUAGUUGGCGGGGUAAAGGCCCACCAAGGCGACGAUCCGUAGCUGGUCUGAGAGGAUGAUCGGCCACACGGGAACUGAGACACGGUCCAGACUCCUACGGGAGGCAGCAGUGGGGAAUAUUGGGCAAUGGGCGCAAGCCUGAUCCAGCCAUACCGCGUGGGUGAAGAAGGCGUUCGGGUUGUAAAGCCCUUUUGUUGGGAAAGAAAAGCAGUAGGUUAAUACCCCGCUGUUCUGACGGUACCCAAAGAAUAAGCACCGGCUAACUUCGUG
This 492-nucleotide ribosomal RNA is filed under the name uncultured bacterium. RNAcentral's name for it is "partial 16S ribosomal RNA". It matches the Rfam family "Bacterial small subunit ribosomal RNA", at positions 29 to 507 of the family's 1533-position model. The record is from RNAcentral.